RNAcentral lists this ribosomal RNA (2861 nucleotides) under Trebouxia arboricola. Its description in RNAcentral is "partial large subunit ribosomal RNA". It matches the Rfam family "Bacterial large subunit ribosomal RNA", at positions 797 to 2622 of the family's 2925-position model. Lineage: Eukaryota; Viridiplantae; Chlorophyta; Trebouxiophyceae; Trebouxiales; Trebouxiaceae. The record is from RNAcentral.
UCGGCGGAUGAGUUGUGGUUAGGGGUGAAAUGCCAAUCGAACUCGGAGCUAGCUGGAUCUCCCCGAAAUGCGUUGAGGCGCAGCGGUUAACGAUGGGCUGUCUAGGGGUAAAGCACUGUUUCGGUGCGGGCUGCGAGAGCGGUACCAAAUCGUAGCAAACUAAGAAUACUAGACACUGCUUUCCGUUAACCAGUGAGACGGUGGGGGAUAAGCUCCAUCGUCGAGAGGGAAACAGCCCAGAUCACCAGCUAAGGCCCCAAAAUGACCGCUAAGUGGCAAAGGAUGUGAGAAUGCUGAAACAACCAGAAGGUUUGCUUAGAAGCAGCCACCCUUUAAAGAGUGCGUAAUAGCUCACUGGUAGAGCGUUCUUGCGCCGAAAAUGAACGGGACUAAGCGGUCUGCCGAAGCUGUGGGUAAUAUCAUUUGAUUUGAUAUUACGGUAGGGGAGCGUUCCGCUCUAGGGUGAAGCUCCAACGUAAGUUGGUGUGGACAAAGCGGAAGUGAGAAUGUCGGCUUGAGUAACGAAAACAUUGGUGAGAAUCCAAUGCCCCGAAAACCUAAGGCUUCCUCCACUAGGCUCGUCCAUGGGGGGUUAGUCGGGACCUAAGGCCAGGCCGAAAGGCGUAGUCGAUGGAAAACAGGUUAAUAUUCCUGUACUGAUUUUGAAGUGGUACCGAGGGACGAAGGAGGGAACAGUUGGCCAAUAUUGGAUGUUGGCGGAAACGUUCAAGGUGAUGAGAGAUAGAAUAAAAACUAUUCUUGAGCUGAGGCGUGAUACGGUUUUAUUCAAUGUAUGAGAGCUUUGCUCAAAUUCAAAAUAAAACUCAAUUAGUUGUCAAACUUCCUAGAAAAGCUCGAACUUCCAAUACUUCAAAAUUACCCGUACCCGAAACCGACACAGGUAGGUAGGUAGAGUAUACCAAGGGGCGCGAGAUAACUCUCUCUAAGGAACUCGGCAAAAUGGCCCCGUAACUUCGGGAGAAGGGGCGCCCUCAAUUAAGAGGGCCGCAGUGACCAGGCCCAGGCGACUGUUUACCAAAAACACAGGUCUCCGCUAAGUCGUAAGACAAUAUAUGGGGGCCGACACCUGCCCAGUGCCGGAAGGUGAAGGAAGUUGGUUACUUGGACUUGUUCAAGAAAGCUGACAACCGAAGCCCCGGUGAACGGCGGCCGUAACUCUGACGGUCCUAAGGUAGCGAAAUUCCUUGUCAGGUAAGUUCUGACCCGCACGAAAGGUGUAACGAUCUGGGCACUGUCUCGGAGAGAGGCUCGGUGAAAUAGACAUGUCCGUGAAGAUGCGGACUACCUACACCUGGACAGAAAGACCCUAUGAAGCUUUACUGUAACCUGGAAUUGAAUUUGGGCUUUUCUUGCGCAGUCUAGGUGGGAGGCGUUGACAGUUCCCUUCCGGGGGGGCUUGAGCCAUCAGUGAGAGACCACUCUGGAGAAGCUAGAAUUCUAAUGGCGGUCCUUGAAUCAGGACGCUUGACAGUUUCAGGCGGGCAGUUUGACUGGGGCGGUCGUCUUCUAUAAAUUUAUUUUUUUCGUUACUGUAAAUUUAAAAGGAAUCAAGUAUCCAAUAUGACUUUAAAAAAAAAGUGCUGUAAAAAAAGUACUUUAAAAGUAACACUAUAUUGGUGCGGACAAUCAGCAGGGAAGUUUACAAAGAAGGGAUACCUUCUACCUUUUAGUUCGAAAAACUAAGAAUGUGUUUUGUAUAACCCCUCAACGACUACACGCUGAACUUCCAAGAAAAGAUACUGGUUAGUAUCGCUUUUGGAUGAUGAUAUAGUCUGAACUUAUAGGUGCUAUAAGCUUAGUUUAAUCUACAAGAGAUUAAAUUAGGUAAUCUAAUUGUAUUUUGUUUCAAAAAUGGAAAAAAAUAAGAAACUCACUCUAUUGCAAAAAGAGGUUUUGUUUGGUGUUAUUUUGGGAGAUGCUCAUUUAGAAACACAAAAUAACAGAAUAACAUAUCGUGUUAAAUUUGAACAAAGUAUUAAGCAUAAACCUUACAUUGAGCAUUUAUAUGAAAUUUUUAAAAAUUAUGUAAAAACCCCUCCUCAACUUAAACUUGUAAAGUAUAAAAACAACGAUACAAAAGAUAAAAAAAGUACCAAUAUUAGAUUUGCCACCAUUUCUAGUAGUACUUUUACAUUUUUUGGAAAACAGUUUUAUAAAGAAAAGAAAAAAGUUAUACCAAAACUUAUUCAUCGAUGGUUAACACCUCGAGCAUUAGCUUAUUGGUAUAUGGACGAUGGUUCAACAAAAUCAACUCAAAGUAAAGCAGUUUUACUUAAUACACAAGGUUUUUCACAUGCUGAAGUUUGUAUUCUUUGUAAUGUGUUAACUCAAAAAUUUAAUCUUUCUUGUUGGCCUCAUAAACAAAAACAAAAUACAUAUCAAAUUUUUAUUUCAGGUAAAAGCUUUGAAACUUUACACAAUUGUAUUUAUGGUUUUCUCAUUCCUGAGAUGCUAUAUAAGUUUCCAAAAAGACAAAGGGAAUAAAAAAAAGAUUAAACAUUUUUGCCUAAAAGGUAACGGAGAUGUGCAAAGGUUCCCUCAGGCUGGACGGAAAUCAGCCGAAGAGUGUAAAGGCAGAAGGGAGCUUGACUGCAAGACCUACAAGUCGAGCAGGGGCGAAAGCCGGCCUUAGUGAUCCGACGGUACCGAGUGGAAGGGCCGUCGCUCAACGGAUAAAAGUUACUCUAGGGAUAACAGGCUGAUCUUCCCCAAGAGUUCACAUCGACGGGAAGGUUUGGCACCUCCGAUGUCGGCUCAUCGCAACCUGGGGCGGUAGUACGUCCCAAGGGUUGGGCUGUUCGCCCAUGAAAGCGGUACGUGAGCUGGGUUCAGAACGUCGU